CCUGAGUGGUUAGCCUAACUCCCAGACCCUGUGAACGAUACAGCUGUUUGUUAGCUGGUCGGCGGUGCAACUCGCUCUCGUGGCGAGCCCGCAGAGACCACACUCCUUAAUGUUGAUCUAUGAGUUACUUCUGAUUAUACAAAUAAGUCA
RNAcentral lists this unclassified non-coding RNA (150 nucleotides) under soil metagenome. RNAcentral describes it as "partial internal transcribed spacer 1". The record is from RNAcentral.